Molecule: ribosomal RNA, 200 nt
Filed under: uncultured bacterium
Lineage: Bacteria
Description: partial 16S ribosomal RNA
Rfam family: Bacterial small subunit ribosomal RNA
Source: RNAcentral
AGAGUUUGAUCCUGGCUCAGGACGAACGCUGGCGGCGUGCCUAAUACAUGCAAGUCGAGCGGGCUAAGGUGGAACUUGUUCCACCAAGGUUAGCGGCGGACGGGUGAGUAACACGUAGGCAACCUGCCCUCUGGACUGGGAUAACUACCGGAAACGGUAGCUAAUACCAGAUAAUUCACUUUUUCGCAUGAGGAAGUGAG